Apis cerana (Asiatic honeybee) is the source of this 2055-nucleotide long non-coding RNA. RefSeq lists it as uncharacterized. The record is from RefSeq and is a predicted model, not a curated record. NCBI's taxonomy places the organism in Eukaryota, Metazoa, Arthropoda, Insecta, Hymenoptera, Apidae.
CAUAUGCCUGGAACAAUAUAUUCCUUGUUAAUUAUCGCGUGAACUUUUUUUAGAGAAACCUUUAUCGAAAAACUUACCUAGUAGAACUUUUUAAAUGUUCUCCUUUAUACUUGGCAACAUGUUCCACCCACCAAGUGGCCAAUUUUUUAGGAUUAAUCGCCACUUUGAGAAUCCCAUCGCGAAGACUCCCGAUGGAUAUUCCGGCCAAAUCCAUCACCAAAGCGUAACCCAAUUUUUCUGCAACGAAAGAAAUCGUAUCUCAAACAAAACGGGCAAAACGAGGGUGGGAGCAGCGUGAUAAGCGGCCUCGUGCAGAGAUAGAAGUCCACCGUGGGAGACAAACGCUCGAAGCUUCGAGUGGCCUAAUAGCUCUUGCUGCGGCCACCAUGCCGCUGUUCUGACGUUCGAUGGCAGAUCUUUGAUCUUCAUACCUUCCCAUUUCCAUACAACGUUGCACGGAAGCGUGGCAAAGGCUGCCACGAAGAUUUGACGAAGCGCCUCGGGCAUGCCCGAAGCGCGGACCGACGAACCCAUGGAAACGAAGAUGAAACCUGCGCCAACGUUUCGCCAUUAUACCAACUUCGGAAUUAGACGAAAAUGGCCCAUUCGGUAUCACGGAUCGAUCGUGGGAAAAAGACAAAAAAAAAAAGAAGAAAAGGAGGAGAAAAAGUCAUCGUGAAUGAAAUCGUGAUGAAUCGAGAAGUAAAAGCGCGAUACUACCUAGAUACUUUCUCAGAACCGGUUGAAGGUAUCCGGUGAUCAUGAACCAGUGCAUUAUCCUCAAACUGACGAGGCAGGCGGCGUUCAGGAUCCUUUGAACGAAGCUCAUGUCUUGCGUCAGGGAUUUGCCGAAGUAAGGAGUGACGGACCAUGGAGAUGGGUUCCCUUGCCGACUUAUCGACCCACUGUACAAGGCCACCUGCGCCCGGACAUCGCCACUUUAACUUUACGUAUCACAUACUCUUUUCAACACACUCUUCUUUAAAUUUUAUAUAGAAAUAUACUCUGCUCGAGAUAUUCUUUUUUUUUUUUUUUUUUAAUUUUAUAUAGAGAUAUACGCCGUUAUUAUUCUAAAUUAAUUCGAUAUUUAGGGGAAAGAGGAGAAGGAAAUCGGAGAAGUAAAAUUGUUUACCGUGUUGAGCAUGAUAAUGGGCACGCCCUCGCCGUGGAGAACUCCGAGAAGGCACUCGGGGAAGGCUCCGUCCACCACGGCAACGUCCCAUCGUUUGCGAGAAUCGGCUUUGCCCCUUCUCAGCCAGGGUACCGAUAUUUCGUCCCGAAGAAGCGCCUCGCAAGACUCCCAGGCAUAUCGCAUCGCGUCCCACGGCGAGAUGGGCAUUUCGUCCCGGAACCUCGCACCGACCAAGUCCCACUCAGACGUGUAAUUCCCGACGUAAGCCUGCCGAUAUAAAAGCGAGCCACGCGUCAACAUUCUUCUUCUUACGACUUCUUUAAUAUAAUUUUUAUCGAUCGAGCAAUUGGAGAAUUACUUCUUCCUUUCUUUAUUUAAAAUUGAUCAUUUUAAAAUUAUCCUUCUUUUGUAUAAUUUUUUGAUGUGUUGGAUUCGAAUAAUUCUCGAUCCAAUUCCUCCAUCGAUUCGAGAAUUAUUUCUUUCUUUAUUUAUUUAAUUUUAUUUAUUUUAUAAUUUUUGUAAUUAUACGAUAUAAUUAUGUACACGCGUGAUGUGUUGGAUUCGAAUAAUUCUCGAUCCAAUUCCUCCAUCGAUUCGAGAAUUAUUUCUUUCUGUAUUUAUUUAACAUUUUAUUAUUUUUGUAAUUAUACGAUAUAAUAAUUAUGAUAUAAUUAUGUACACGCGUGACGUGUUGAAUUCGAAUAAUUCUCGAUUGAUUCGAGAAUUAUUUCUCUCUUUAUUUAUUUAACAUUUUAAAUUGUAAUUUUUAUAAUUAAUUAAUAAUUCUCGAUCGAUUCGAGAAUUAUUUAUUUAACAUUUUAAAUUGUCGCGCACUGACGAUCCCAUUGUCCUUCUUUUAUAUAAUUUUUAUAUAAUAAUUAUAUACACGCUUAACGUGUUGGAUUCCUCGAUCGAUUCGAGAA